CGGGGCUUAAAGUCUUGUAAUUGGAAUGAUGGGAAUUUAAACCUCUUCCAGAGUAUCAAUUGGAGGGCAAGUCUGGUGCCAGCAGCCGCGGUAAUUCCAGCUCCAAUAGCGUAUAUUAAAAUUGUUGCAGUUAAAAAGCUCGUAGUUGAAUUUCUGCUGCAUUGCUUGUGUCCCUCUGGGGUCUGUGCAUGUGGCUUUUUUCGGACGGAGUUUCUUUGUCUGAAUGUUUACUUUGAGAAAAUUAGAGUGCUCAAAGCAGGCUUUCGCCUUGAAUAGUUUAGCAUGGAAUAAUAAAGUAGGACUUUGGUUCUAUUUUGUUGGUUUUAGGUACCAAAGUAAUGGUUAAUAGGAACAGUUCGGGGCAUUCGUAUUUAACUGUCAGAGGUGAAAUUCUUAGAUUUGUUAAAGACGAACUACUGCGAAAGCAUUUGCCAAGGAUGUUUUCAUUAAUCAAGAAC
This 458-nucleotide ribosomal RNA is filed under the name Theileria annulata. RNAcentral describes it as "SSU rRNA". It matches the Rfam family "Eukaryotic small subunit ribosomal RNA", at positions 486 to 984 of the family's 1831-position model. The record is from RNAcentral. Lineage: Eukaryota; Apicomplexa; Aconoidasida; Piroplasmida; Theileriidae.